AAAGGAAUUGACGGGGACUCGCACAAGCGGAGGAUCAUGUGGUUUAAUUCGAUGGUAAACGAAAAACCUCACCAGGGUUAGAAAUCUAGCUGAAGACAGAUGGAAACAUUUGUUGUCUCACAAGGACAGCUGGACAGGUGAUGCAUGGCCGUCGUCAGUUCGUGGUUUGAAUUGUUCCCUUAAGUGGGGUAACGAACGCAACCCUUGUUGCCUGUUAUAUAUGUCAGGCGAGACUGCCCCCACAUCAGUUUUCAAUACUUAAAUGUAUUGAUUGAAAAUUGGUGUGGGGGAGGAAGGCAAGGAUGACGCCAGGUCAGCAUGUCCCUUUGAUACCCUGGGCUACACACGUGAUACAAUGGAUGCUACAACGCGAUGCGACGAAGUAAUUCUGAGCAAAUCGUCAGAAAAGCGUCCUAAGUUCGGAUUGAGGGCUGCAACUCGUCCUCAUGAAGUUGGAUUCGCUAGUAAUCUCGGGUCAGCCAUACCGAGGUGAAUACGUUCUCGAGUCUUGUACACACCGCCCGU
This 525-nucleotide ribosomal RNA is filed under the name uncultured bacterium. Its description in RNAcentral is "bacterial SSU rRNA". It matches the Rfam family "Bacterial small subunit ribosomal RNA", at positions 903 to 1397 of the family's 1533-position model. The record is from RNAcentral.